This 492-nucleotide ribosomal RNA is filed under the name Triticum aestivum (bread wheat). RNAcentral describes it as "partial small subunit ribosomal RNA". The record is from RNAcentral. Lineage: Eukaryota; Viridiplantae; Streptophyta; Magnoliopsida; Poales; Poaceae.
AUGGCUGCCGCACAAAGUGUAUCGGCUCUGGCCGCUCGCUGUGUACUGCCGCGCGGCCGGGAGGCUGGUGAUCAUCUGCCGGGUGAGCGGGUUGAGGAGGCGGAUCAUGUAGGUGCGCUUGUCGCACAGCACGAUGAGGCCGCCAUCGGAGGUGGCCCCGAAAACAUACUGGUAGCGGAGCUCGGGGAGGUCCACCUUGAUGCGCUCGCCUGUCGAGACGUUGAGGAAGUCGUGGGGCUUCCGGACGGCGCCCAAGGCCCGCGGGAGCAUGAUCCACCGCCGGGGGUGGAACCGACGGUCCAGGCUGCCGUAUGCUUGCAGGGACGCGGUGCAUCGCCGCCAUGUGCGGCACACCGCACGGAAGCGGAGGUAGUCCGCGACGUCGUCCGUGAGCACACGCUCCGCGAUCAUGCCUGCCGGCCCGGCGAUCAGGUCCGCCCAAUCCCUCCUGCAAGCCGCGUAUACAGGAACAGGAACAGGAACUCUACCUAG